This 1398-nucleotide ribosomal RNA is filed under the name metagenome. RNAcentral's name for it is "bacterial LSU rRNA". It matches the Rfam family "Bacterial large subunit ribosomal RNA", at positions 1550 to 2925 of the family's 2925-position model. The record is from RNAcentral.
GAUAGUCUGAGACCUGAUGCCGAGCCGAUUGUGGUGAAGUGGAUGAUCCUAUGCUGUCGAGAAAAGCCUCUAGCGAGUUUCAUGGCGGCCCGUACCCUAAACCGACUCAGGUGGUCAGGUAGAGAAUACCGAGGCGUUCGGGUGAACUAUGGUUAAGGAACUCGGCAAAAUGCCCCCGUAACUUCGGGAGAAGGGGGGCCAUCACCGGUGAUCGGAUUUACUCCGUGAGCUAGGGGUGGCCGCAGAGACCAGCGAGAAGCGACUGUUUACUAAAAACACAGGUCCGUGCGAAGCCGUAAGGCGAUGUAUACGGACUGACGCCUGCCCGGUGCUGGAACGUUAAGGGGACCGGUUAGUCAUUCUUCGGGGUGGCGAAGCUGAGAACUUAAGCGCCAGUAAACGGCGGUGGUAACUAUAACCAUCCUAAGGUAGCGAAAUUCCUUGUCGGGUAAGUUCCGACCUGCACGAAUGGCGUAACGACUUCUCGACUGUCUCAACCAUAGGCCCGGUGAAAUUGCACUACGAGUAAAGAUGCUCGUUUCGCGCAGCAGGACGGAAAGACCCCGGGACCUUUACUACAGUUUGAUAUUGGUGUUCGGUUCGGCUUGUGUAGGAUAGCUGGGAGACUGUGAACUCUGGACGCCAGUUCAGGGGGAGUCGUCGUUGAAAUACCAGUCUGGUCGUGCUGGAUGUCUAACCUGGGUCCGUGAUCCGGAUCAGGGACAGUGUCUGAUGGGUAGUUUAACUGGGGCGGUUGCCUCCUAAAGAGUAACGGAGGCGCCCAAAGGUUCCCUCAGCCUGGUUGGCAAUCAGGUGUUGAGUGUAAGUGCACAAGGGAGCUUGACUGUGAGACCGACGGUCGAGCAGGGACGAAAGUCGGGACUAGUGAUCCGGCGGUGGCUUGUGGAAGCGCCGUCGCUCAACGGAUAAAAGGUACCCCGGGGAUAACAGGCUGAUCUUCCCCAAGAGUCCAUAUCGACGGGAUGGUUUGGCACCUCGAUGUCGGCUCGUCGCAUCCUGGGGCUGGAGUCGGUCCCAAGGGUUGGGCUGUUCGCCCAUUAAAGCGGUACGCGAGCUGGGUUUAGAACGUCGUGAGACAGUUCGGUCCCUAUCCGCUGCGCGCGCAGGAACAUUGAGAAGGGCUGUCCCUAGUACGAGAGGACCGGGACGGACGAACCUCUGGUGUGCCAGUUGUUCUGCCAAGGGCAUGGCUGGUUGGCUACGUUCGGGAGGGAUAACCGCUGAAAGCAUCUAAGCGGGAAGCCUGCUUCGAGAUGAGUGUUCCCACCCCCUUUGAGGGGUUAAGGCUCCCAGUAGACGACUGGGUUGAUAGGCCGGAUCUGGAAGGCGGGUAACCGCUGGAGGUGACCGGUACUAAUAGGCCGAGGGCUUGUCCCA